This is a long non-coding RNA of Frieseomelitta varia, 643 nucleotides long. RefSeq lists it as uncharacterized. The record is from RefSeq and is a predicted model, not a curated record. Lineage: Eukaryota; Metazoa; Arthropoda; Insecta; Hymenoptera; Apidae. The transcript has 2 exons.
AUUAAAAUUAAUUCAGGGAUCGAGAGUCGAGAGUCGAACACUGAAAAUGACCAGCAAUUCAGAGUAAAAGAAAAAAAAAAAAAAGACAUUCUCGAAGAGUGAAAAUUCGCAGAAAUCGAGAAUCGAGAGUAGAAAAAAGAGUAUCGUGGAGUAUCGGUACGGAGGAAGUACGCAAGUGAAAUGAACUCUGAUGCCGAUACGGGGGUGGCGCGUCUUGUCGAAACCGGGGCGAGGUGAUUAAUCGGCACUGUGGAUACGUUGACGAGUGUCGAUGCAGCCGGACUGCACGGUUCGUCGACGCGAUUCUCGUCAGCUUCGUCCUUCUUUCGAGCCGGUCAACGGCCUGACCCAGGCCGAGGGUCGAACGGAACCACAGUGAGGCAAGAAUCCACGGAAUCGCGCGCGAGCAUCGAUCACGAACGAGCAUCGAUCUCCCCCUACGAUCCUCUUCACGCCGAAUCAAUGACGAUAAACGAGAAACGUCCACGAGGAAAAUUCUGUUCGCUGCGCAUCGAGAAAAGGAGGACCUGAGCCUCUGAGGGGUUCCGAGAGGAGAAUCCGAGCCGAACUGCCAACGACAGAAGCGAGCCGCAGCCCAGCAGUUGACCCAGAUGCGCACGCGACACGAAUUCCCCAGGGGGGA